This 25-nucleotide ribosomal RNA is filed under the name Inocyclus angularis. Its description in RNAcentral is "partial 18S ribosomal RNA". The record is from RNAcentral. Lineage: Eukaryota; Fungi; Ascomycota; Dothideomycetes.
CGUAGGUGACCUGCGGAGGACAUUA